Molecule: ribosomal RNA, 447 nt
Filed under: uncultured bacterium
Lineage: Bacteria
Description: bacterial SSU rRNA
Rfam family: Bacterial small subunit ribosomal RNA
Source: RNAcentral
GCCCAGACUCCUACGGGAGGCAGCAGUGGGGAAUAUUGCACAAUGGGGGAAACCCUGAUGCAGCGACGCCGCGUGAGCGAUGAAGUAUUUCGGUAUGUAAAGCUCUAUCAGCAGGGAAGAAGAUGACGGUACCUGACUAAGAAGCCCCGGCUAACUACGUGCCAGCAGCCGCGGUAAUACGUAGGGGGCAAGCGUUAUCCGGAUUUACUGGGUGUAAAGGGAGCGUAGACGGCGGCGCAAGCCAGAUGUGAAAGCCCGGGGCUCAACUCCGGGACUGCAUUUGGAACUGUGUGGCUGGAGUGUCGGAGAGGCAGGCGGAAUUCCUAGUGUAGCGGUGAAAUGCGUAGAUAUUAGGAGGAACACCAGUGGCGAAGGCGGCCUGCUGGACGAUGACUGACGUUGAGGCUCGAAAGCGUGGGGAGCAAACAGGAUUAGAUACCCGCGUAA